RNAcentral lists this ribosomal RNA (433 nucleotides) under uncultured bacterium. Its description in RNAcentral is "partial 16S ribosomal RNA". It matches the Rfam family "Bacterial small subunit ribosomal RNA", at positions 29 to 507 of the family's 1533-position model. The record is from RNAcentral.
AACGAACGCUGGCGGCAGGCCUAACACAUGCAAGUCGAGCGGACCUUUCGGGGUCAGCGGCGGACGGGUGAGUAACGCGUGGGAAUAUGCCCUUCUCUACGGAAUAGUCCUGGGAAACUGGGGGUAAUACCGUAUACGCCCUUUGGGGGAAAGAUUUAUCGGGGAAGGAUUAGCCCGCGUUGGAUUAGGUAGUUGGUGGUGUAAUGGCCUACCAAGCCGACGAUCCAUAGCUGGUUUGAGAGGAUGAUCAGCCACACUGGGACUGAGACACGGCCCAGACUCCUACGGGAGGCAGCAGUGGGGAAUCUUAGACAAUGGGGGCAACCCUGAUAGAGCCAUGCCGCGUGAGUGAUGAAGGGCUUAGGGUUGUAAAGCUCUUUCAGCUGGGAAGAUAAUGACGGUAACAGCAGAAGAAGCCCCGGCUAACUCCGUG